Molecule: ribosomal RNA, 495 nt
Filed under: uncultured bacterium
Lineage: Bacteria
Description: partial 16S ribosomal RNA
Rfam family: Bacterial small subunit ribosomal RNA
Source: RNAcentral
GACGAACGCUGGCGGCGUGCCUAAUACAUGCAAGUAGAACGCUGAAGGAGGAGCUUGCUUCUCUGGAUGAGUUGCGAACGGGUGAGUAACGCGUAGGUAACCUGCCUGGUAGCGGGGGAUAACUAUUGGAAACGAUAGCUAAUACCGCAUAAUAGUAGAUGUUGCAUGACAUUUGCCUAAAAGGUGCAAUUGCAUCACUACCAGAUGGACCUGCGUUGUAUUAGCUAGUUGGUGGGGUAACGGCUCACCAAGGCGACGAUACAUAGCCGACCUGAGAGGGUGAUCGGCCACACUGGGACUGAGACACGGCCCAGACUCCUACGGGAGGCAGCAGUAGGGAAUCUUCGGCAAUGGACGGAAGUCUGACCGAGCAACGCCGCGUGAGUGAAGAAGGGUGUCGGAUCGUAAAGCUCGGUUGUAAGAGAAGAACGAGUGUGAGAGUGGAAAGUUCACACUGUGACGGUAGCUUACCAGAAAGGGACGGCUAACUACGUG